GUUGAACGGACUCAUAUUGAAACCUAGUGAUGUAUGAGUUAGUGGCGGACGGGUGAGUAACGCGUGGAGAACCUGCCGUAUACUGGGGGAUAACACUUAGAAAUAGGUGCUAAUACCGCAUAAGCGCACAGCUUCGCAUGAAGCAGUGUGAAAAACUCCGGUGGUAUACGAUGGAUCCGCGUCUGAUUAGCUAGUUGGUGGGGUAAAGGCCCACCAAGGCGACGAUCAGUAGCCGGCCUGAGAGGGUGAACGGCCACAUUGGGACUGAGACACGGCCCAAACUCCUACGGGAGGCAGCAGUGGGGAAUAUUGCACAAUGGGGGAAACCCUGAUGCAGCGACGCCGCGUGAGUGAAGAAGUAUUUCGGUACGUAAAGCUCUAUCAGCAGGGAAGAAAAUGACGGUACCUGACUAAGAAGCCCCGGCUAACUACGUGCCAGCAGCCGCGGUAAUACGUAGGGGGCAAGCGUUAUCCGGAUUUACUGGGUGUAAAGGGAGCGUAGACGGCAGCGCAAGUCUGGAGUGAAAUCCCAUGGCUUAACCAUGGAACUGCUUUGGAAACUGUGCAGCUGGAGUGCAGGAGAGGUAAGCGGAAUUCCUAGUGUAGCGGUGAAAUGCGUAGAUAUUAGGAGGAACACCAGUGGCGAAGGCGGCUUACUGGACUGUAACUGACGUUGAGGCUCGAAAGCGUGGGGAGCAAACAGGAUUAGAUACCCUGGUAGUCCACGCUGUAAACGAUGAUUACU
Molecule: ribosomal RNA, 745 nt
Filed under: uncultured bacterium
Lineage: Bacteria
Description: bacterial SSU rRNA
Rfam family: Bacterial small subunit ribosomal RNA
Source: RNAcentral